This 425-nucleotide ribosomal RNA is filed under the name uncultured bacterium. RNAcentral's name for it is "partial 16S ribosomal RNA". It matches the Rfam family "Bacterial small subunit ribosomal RNA", at positions 354 to 796 of the family's 1533-position model. The record is from RNAcentral.
GUGGGGAAUCUUGCGCAAUGGGCGAAAGCCUGACGCAGCCAUGCCGCGUGGAUGAUGAAGGUCUUAGGAUUGUAAAAUCCUUUCACCGGUGAAGAUAAUGACUGUAGCCGGAGAAGAAGCCCCGGCUAACUUCGUGCCAGCAGCCGCGGUAAUACGAAGGGGGCUAGCGUUGCUCGGAUUUACUGGGCGUAAAGGGCGCGUAGGCGGACAUUUAAGUCAGGGGUGAAAUCCCGGGGCUCAACCUCGGAACUGCAUUUGAUACUGGGUGUCUUGAGUAUGAGAGAGGUGUGUGGAACUCCGAGUGUAGAGGUGAAAUUCGUAGAUAUUCGGAAGAACACCAGUGGCGAAGGCGACACACUGGCUCAUUACUGACGCUGAGGCGCGAAAGCGUGGGGAGCAAACAGGAUUAGAUACCCUAGUAGUCC